This 320-nucleotide ribosomal RNA is filed under the name uncultured Prevotella sp. Its description in RNAcentral is "partial 16S ribosomal RNA". The record is from RNAcentral. Lineage: Bacteria; Pseudomonadati; Bacteroidota; Bacteroidia; Bacteroidales; Prevotellaceae.
GGAGUUUGGUCCGUGUCUCAGUACCAAUGUGGGGGACCUUCCUCUCAGAACCCCUACUGAUCGUCGCCUCGGUGGGCCGUUACCCCGCCGACAAGCUAAUCAGACGCAUCCCCAUCCCUUACCGAUGAAUCUUUGCUCCUCGUUAGAUGCCUGCAAAGGAGAACAUAAGGCAUUAAUCCGACUUUCGCCGGGCUAUUCCUUAGUAAGGGGAAGGUUGGAUACGCGUUACUCACCCGUGCGCCGGUCGCCGACAAGGAAAGCAAGCUUCCCUCUCGCUGCCCCUCGACUUGCAUGUGUUAAGCCUGUAGCUAGCGUUCAUC